AUUGAACGCUGGCGGAAUGCUUUACACAUGCAAGCGAACGGCAGCACGGACUUCGGUCUGGUGGCGAGUGGCGAACGGGUGAGUAACAUAUCGGAACGUAUCCAAUAAUGGGGGAUAACUAAUCGAAAGGUUGGCUAAUACCGCAUACGCCCUACGGGGGAAAGCUAGGGACCUUCGGGCCUGGCGUUAAUGGAGCGGCCGAUAUCUGAUUAGCUAGUUGGUGGGGUAAAGGCCCACCAAGGCGACGAUCAGUAGCUGGUCUGAGAGGACGACCAGCCACACUGGAACUGAGACACGGUCCAGACUCCUACGGGAGGCAGCAGUGGGGAAUUUUGGACAAUGGGCGCAAGCCUGAUCCAGCCAUUCCGCGUGAGUGAAGAAGGCCUUCGGGUUGUAAAGCUCUUUCGCAAGGGAAGAAAACUUAGUCUCUAACAUAGGCUGAGGUUGACGGUACCUUGAUAAGAAGCACCGGCUAACUACGUGCCAGCAGCCGCGGUAAUACGUAGGGUGCGAGCGUUAAUCGGAAUUACUGGGGCGUAAAGCGUGCGCAGGCGGUUUUGUAAGUCAG
Molecule: ribosomal RNA, 568 nt
Filed under: uncultured bacterium
Lineage: Bacteria
Description: bacterial SSU rRNA
Rfam family: Bacterial small subunit ribosomal RNA
Source: RNAcentral